RNAcentral lists this long non-coding RNA (474 nucleotides) under Trifolium pratense (red clover). Its description in RNAcentral is "long non-coding RNA (TPRA_LNC011778)". Lineage: Eukaryota; Viridiplantae; Streptophyta; Magnoliopsida; Fabales; Fabaceae. The record is from RNAcentral.
AAAACAUCUCAGCCUAUACAUAAAUUGUUCUACCUUCAAUUGGAUUUUUAUUAGUGGAAGGGAGAUUGGUUUUCUGCAUUUAUCGAUUCUUAGAUUAUAUAUACCGAGUUUAGGAAAAAAAAAAAAGAAGAAGUUGGAGAAUGAAAAAUAUUGAUCGGAUUAUGAAUUUUGAUUUAGAUAUUAGAAAUUUUCAAUACAUAGAAUUGUGAUUAAUUUUGCAAGUGUAGAAUGAACUUGUGUUGCACCUAAGUUUGAAACUUUAGCUUUAUAUAACAAAGAUAAGAGAGUUUAAAGUAUAGUGAUUGGAUUAGGAAUUUUAUUUGUAGAUUAGAAAAUUGCUAGACUUAGAAACGUAGUUAGGAUAGGAUAUGAAUAGAUAUUUUGCAGGUAAAUAUGAACUCAAAAUUAAUUAUGGAGGUUGAACUUAUGAGAAUGAAUUUUAUAAGUAGUAUAGAGAAUAGUUAUAGUUAAGUU